AGCCCCGUAGUGAUUACACGUCAKAUUGCAAACCUGAAAAAGUUCCUUUAGGUUCCGGGGCUU
RNAcentral lists this transfer RNA (63 nucleotides) under Bavayia sauvagii. Its description in RNAcentral is "tRNA-Cys". The record is from RNAcentral. Lineage: Eukaryota; Metazoa; Chordata; Lepidosauria; Squamata; Diplodactylidae.